RNAcentral lists this ribosomal RNA (434 nucleotides) under uncultured Lachnospiraceae bacterium. RNAcentral's name for it is "partial 16S ribosomal RNA". It matches the Rfam family "Bacterial small subunit ribosomal RNA", at positions 341 to 792 of the family's 1533-position model. The record is from RNAcentral. Lineage: Bacteria; Bacillati; Bacillota; Clostridia; Lachnospirales; Lachnospiraceae.
ACGGGAGGCAGCAGUGGGGAAUAUUGCACAAUGGGGGAAACCCUGAUGCAGCGACGCCGCGUGAGUGAAGAAGUAUUUCGGUAUGUAAGGCUCUAUCAGCAAGGAAGAAAAUGACGGUACUUGACUAAGAAGCCCCGGCUAACUACGUGCCAGCAGCCGCGGUAAUACGUAGGGGGCAAGCGUUAUCCGGAUUUACUGGGUGUAAAGGGAGCGUAGACGGCUGUGUAAGUCUGAAGUGAAAGCCCCGGGCUCAACUCGGGAACUGCUUUGGAAACUGUAGAGCUAGAGUGCAGGAGAGGUAAGUGGAAUUCCUAGUGUAGCGGUGAAAUGCGUAGAUAUUAGGAGGAACACCAGUGGCGAAGGCGGCUUACUGGACUGUAACUGACGUUGAGGCUCGAAGGCGUGGGGGGCAAACAGGAUUAGAUACCCUGGUA